AACGCGAAGAACCUUACCUACCCUUGAGAUCCGCGGAAUUUGAUAGAGAUAUCGAAGUGCCGAAAGGAACCGCGAGACAGGUGCUGCAUGGCUGUCGUCAGCUCGUGUUGUGAGAUGUUGGGUUAAGUCCCGUAACGAGCGCAACCCUUAUCUUUAGUUGCCAACAUGUAAUGGUGGGGACUCUAAAGAGACUGCUGGUGAUGAACCGGAGGAAGGUGGGGACGACGUCAAGUCAUCAUGGCCUUUAUGGGUAGGGCCACACACGUGCUACAAUGGGACGUACAGAGGGGAGCCAACCCGCGAGGGGGAGCCAAUCUCAGAAAACGUCUCGUAGUCCGGAUUGAAGUCUGCAACUCGACUUCAUGAAGUUGGAAUCGCUAGUAAUCGCGAAUCAGAAUGUCGCGGUGAAUACGUUCCCGGGCCUUGUACACACCGACUGUAC
Molecule: ribosomal RNA, 442 nt
Filed under: uncultured bacterium
Lineage: Bacteria
Description: bacterial SSU rRNA
Rfam family: Bacterial small subunit ribosomal RNA
Source: RNAcentral